RNAcentral lists this ribosomal RNA (688 nucleotides) under Sphingomonas sp. RNAcentral's name for it is "bacterial SSU rRNA". It matches the Rfam family "Bacterial small subunit ribosomal RNA", at positions 18 to 751 of the family's 1533-position model. The record is from RNAcentral. Lineage: Bacteria; Pseudomonadati; Pseudomonadota; Alphaproteobacteria; Sphingomonadales; Sphingomonadaceae.
CAUGGCUCAGAACGAACGCUGGCGGCAUGCCUAACACAUGCAAGUCGAACGAGGCCCUUCGGGGUUUAGUGGCGCACGGGUGCGUAACGCGUGGGAAUCUGCCCUUUGGUUCGGAAUAACAGCUGGAAACGGCUGCUAAUACCGGAUGAUGACGAGAGUCCAAAGAUUUAUCGCCAGAGGAUGAGCCCGCGUUGGAUUAGGUAGUUGGUGGGGUAAAGGCCUACCAAGCCGACGAUCCAUAGCUGGUCUGAGAGGAUGAUCAGCCACACUGGGACUGAGACACGGCCCAGACUCCUACGGGAGGCAGCAGUGGGGAAUAUUGGACAAUGGGCGCAAGCCUGAUCCAGCAAUGCCGCGUGAGUGAUGAAGGCCCUAGGGUUGUAAAGCUCUUUUACCCGGGAAGAUAAUGACUGUACCGGGAGAAUAAGCCCCGGCUAACUCCGUGCCAGCAGCCGCGGUAAUACGGAGGGGGCUAGCGUUGUUCGGAAUUACUGGGCGUAAAGCGCACGUAGGCGGCUUUGUAAGUCAGAGGUGAAAGCCUGGAGCUCAACUCCAGAACUGCCUUUGAGACUGCAUCGCUUGAAUCCAGGAGAGGUCAGUGGAAUUCCGAGUGUAGAGGUGAAAUUCGUAGAUAUUCGGAAGAACACCAGUGGCGAAGGCGGCUGACUGGACUGGUAUGACGCUGAGG